UACGAAGGGGGCUAGCGUUGCUCGGAAUCACUGGGCGUAAAGCGCACGUAGGCGGAUUGUUAAGUCAGGGGUGAAAUCCUGGAGCUCAACUCCAGAACUGCCUUUGAUACUGGCGAUCUCGAGUCCGGGAGAGGUGAGUGGAACUGCGAGUGUAGAGGUGAAAUUCGUAGAUAUUCGCAAGAACACCAGUGGCGAAGGCGGCUCACCGGCCCGGUACUGACGCUGAGGUGCGAAAGCGUGGGGAGCAAACAGG
This 253-nucleotide ribosomal RNA is filed under the name uncultured bacterium. RNAcentral's name for it is "partial 16S ribosomal RNA". It matches the Rfam family "Bacterial small subunit ribosomal RNA", at positions 524 to 776 of the family's 1533-position model. The record is from RNAcentral.